AAAGGAAUAGACGGGGGCCCGCACAAGCGGAGGAACAUGUGGUUUAAUUCGAUGAUACGCGAGGAACCUUACCCGGGCUCGAACGGUAGUGGAAUAAUAUAGAGAUAUAUUAGUCAGCAAUGACUGCUAUCGAGGUGCUGCAUGGUUGUCGUCAGCUCGUGCCGUGAGGUGUCGGCUUAAGUGCCAUAACGAGCGCAACCCUUGUCGUUAGUUGCCAUCGAGUAAAGUCGGGAACUCUAACGAAACUGCCACCGUAAGGUGUGAGGAAGGGGGGGAUGACGUCAAAUCAGCACGGCCCUUACGUCCGGGGCGACACACGUGUUACAAUGGCCGGUACAGAGGGCAGCUACACAGCAAUGUGAUGCUAAUCUCAAAAACCGGUCUCAGUUCGGAUUGGAGUCUGCAACUCGACUCCAUGAAGUUGGAUUCGCUAGUAAUCGCACAUCAGCCAUGGUGCGGUGAAUACGUUCCCGGGCCUUGUACACACCGCCCGU
Molecule: ribosomal RNA, 494 nt
Filed under: uncultured bacterium
Lineage: Bacteria
Description: bacterial SSU rRNA
Rfam family: Bacterial small subunit ribosomal RNA
Source: RNAcentral